GAUGAACGCUGGCGGCGUGCCUAAUACAUGCAAGUCGAGCGAACGGACGAGAAGCUUGCUUCUCUGAUGUUAGCGGCGGACGGGUGAGUAACACGUGGAUAACCUACCUAUAAGACUGGGAUAACUUCGGGAAACCGGAGCUAAUACCGGAUAAUAUUUUGAACCGCAUGGUUCAAAAGUGAAAGACGGUCUUGCUGUCACUUAUAGAUGGAUCCGCGCUGCAUUAGCUAGUUGGUAAGGUAACGGCUUACCAGGGCAACGAUGCAUAGCCGACCUGAGAGGGUGCUCGGCCACACUGGAACUGAGACACGGUCCAGACUCCUACGGGAGGCAGCAGUAGGGAAUCUUCCGCAAUGGGCGAAAGCCUGACGGAGCAACGCCGCGUGAGUGAUGAAGGUCUUCGGAUCGUAAAACUCUGUUAUUAGGGAAGAACAUAUGUGUAAGUAACUGUGCACAUCUUGACGGUACCUAAUCAGAAAGCCACGGCUAACUACGUG
This 497-nucleotide ribosomal RNA is filed under the name uncultured bacterium. Its description in RNAcentral is "partial 16S ribosomal RNA". It matches the Rfam family "Bacterial small subunit ribosomal RNA", at positions 28 to 507 of the family's 1533-position model. The record is from RNAcentral.